Molecule: ribosomal RNA, 447 nt
Filed under: uncultured bacterium
Lineage: Bacteria
Description: bacterial SSU rRNA
Rfam family: Bacterial small subunit ribosomal RNA
Source: RNAcentral
UGGGGAAUAUUGGACAAUGGGCGCAAGCCUGAUCCAGCCAUGCCGCGUGAACGAUGAAGGCCUUAGGGUUGUAAAGUUCUUUUGUCAGGGAAGAUAAUGACGGUACCUGAAGAAUAAGCACCGGCUAACUUCGUGCCAGCAGCCGCGGUAAUACGAAGGGUGCUAGCGUUGUUCGGAAUCACUGGGCGUAAAGCGCGCGUAGGCGGCUUUGUAAGUCUGAUGUGAAAUCCCCGGGCUCAACCUGGGAAUUGCAUUGGAGACUGCAAGGCUAGAAUCUGGCAGAGGGGGGUAGAAUUCCACGUGUAGCAGUGAAAUGCGUAGAUAUGUGGAGGAACACCGAUGGCGAAGGCAGCCCCCUGGGUCAAGAUUGACGCUCAUGCACGAAAGCGUGGGGAGCAAACAGGAUUAGAUACCCACGUAGUCCCUGAGCGGGCUGGCAAGGCGCAU